CACCGCCCGUCACACUAUGGGAGCUGGCCAUGCCCGAAGCCAUUACCUUAAUUGCAAGGAGGGGGGAUGCCGAAGGUAGGGCUAGUGACUGGAGUGAAGUCGUAACAAGGUAGCCGUAUUGGAAGGUGCGGCUG
RNAcentral lists this ribosomal RNA (134 nucleotides) under Olea europaea subsp. europaea. RNAcentral describes it as "SSU_rRNA_eukarya". It matches the Rfam family "Bacterial small subunit ribosomal RNA", at positions 1388 to 1520 of the family's 1533-position model. Lineage: Eukaryota; Viridiplantae; Streptophyta; Magnoliopsida; Lamiales; Oleaceae. The record is from RNAcentral.